This is an RNA transcript of Nicotiana attenuata, 820 nucleotides long. It is a transcript of the gene named proteinase inhibitor type-2 P303.51-like, with no coding region annotated. The transcript is spliced from 2 exons. Lineage: Eukaryota; Viridiplantae; Streptophyta; Magnoliopsida; Solanales; Solanaceae. The record is from RefSeq and is a predicted model, not a curated record.
UGAAGAAAUUUGUACUCUUUCGAUUCAGUCAAGUGCGGCGGCUUCGUAGUCAUUGCAAACGUGAUAAGACUUUAUGGAGAUAAGUCGUCCAAGUCAUUUUCAUCUGCUAUAAAUAGAUGCAUAGGAUAACACUCUCUUUGCUCAAAUUAAAGAAAACCAUUUAACUCAGGAGAUAAACAAGUAUGGCUGUUCACAGAGUUAAUUUCCUUGCUUUCCUCCUCUUAUUUGGUAUGUCUCUGCUUGUAAAUAAUGUGGAACAUGCAGAUGCCAAGGCUUGUCCCUUUAACUGUGAUCCAAGAAUUGCCUAGGGAGUUUGCCCGCGUUCAGAAGAAAAGAAAACAAUAACCAAAUAUGCACCAACUGUUGCGCAGGCACGAAAGGUUGCAACUAUUUCAGUGCUAAUGGAACUUUUAUUUGUGAAGGAGAAUAUGAUCCUAGAAAUCCAAAAGCUUGUCCGCGAAAUUGUGAUCCAAGAAUUGACUAUCGAGUUUGCCCGCGUUCAGAAGAAAAUAAUAACCAAAAAUGCACCAACUGUUGCGCAGGCACGAAAGGUUGCAACUAUUUCAGUGCUAAUGGAACUUUUAUUUGUGAAGGAGAAUCUGAAUAUGUAAGAAAAGUGGAUGAAUGAUCUCCCGAAGUCUAUGGUUGUUGUUUCCUAAGUCCUAAGUGAUAAUAUGUAGUCUAUGUAUGAAACAAAGGCAUGACAAUAUGCUCUGUCUUGCCUGUAAUCUGUAAUAUGGUAGUGGAGCUUUUCCACUUCUUGUGCUAGUUUUCAUAAUGUUUAAUAACAAAUGGAGCACUAGUUUGUUCUAGUUAGUGA